Molecule: ribosomal RNA, 447 nt
Filed under: uncultured bacterium
Lineage: Bacteria
Description: bacterial SSU rRNA
Rfam family: Bacterial small subunit ribosomal RNA
Source: RNAcentral
UGGGGAAUCUUGGACAAUGGGCGCAAGCCUGAUCCAGCCAUGCCGCGUGGAUGAUGAAGGCCUUAGGGUUGUAAAAUCCUUUCGCCGAGGACGAUAAUGACGGUACUCGGAGAAGAAGCUCCGGCUAACUUCGUGCCAGCAGCCGCGGUAAUACGAAGGGGGCUAGCGCUGUUCGGAUUUACUGGGCGUAAAGCGCGUGUAGGCGGGUCGUUAAGUUGGGGGUGAAAUCCCGAGGCUCAACCUCGGAACUGCCUUCAAAACUGGCGACCUGGACCUAAGUAGAGGCAAGUGGAAUUGCGAGUGUAGAGGUGAAAUUCGUAGAUAUCGGAAGGAACAUCGGUGGCGAAGGCGUCUACCUGGCCUAAUACUGACACUGAGGCACGAAAGCGUGGGGAGCAAACAGGAUUAGAUACCCCCGUAGUCCCUGAGCGGGCUGGCAAGGCGCAU